This 253-nucleotide ribosomal RNA is filed under the name uncultured bacterium. RNAcentral describes it as "partial 16S ribosomal RNA". It matches the Rfam family "Bacterial small subunit ribosomal RNA", at positions 524 to 776 of the family's 1533-position model. The record is from RNAcentral.
AACGUAGGAUCCGAGCGUUGUCCGGAAUCACUGGGUGUAAAGGGUGCGUAGGCGGGCUUGCGCGUCAAGGGUUAAAGACCUCGGCUCAACCGAGGGAAUGCCCUUGAUACGGCAGGCCUUGAGUGCGGGAGAGGAUGGUGGAAUUCCUGGGGUAACGGUGAAAUGCGUAGAGUUCAGGGGGAACCCCGAAGGCGAAGGCAGCCAUCUGGACCGCCACUGACGCUGAGGCACGAAAGCGUGGGGAGCAAACAGG